UGGAUAGUAGCUCUCCAGGACCGGAGUUGGAGACCUCUGCUGUAGAUCCUAGGCCUUUCCAGUCAAGGGUCAUUGUAGAUCUAUCACUUUACUUAACUUUCAGGAGUAAUAAAGUUCAUCCAUCUACACAUCUAUUUAAAAAAUCAGGGAUUUAUGUUUGCAUUCAGGAAAGCAGCUAUGACCUUCCGCUUUCCUGAAAACCAAUAGGAAGGGCUUUAUUAUCUUAGACCUCAUCAUAUACAGAUAACAGCAUGCGAACAGUCUGUUGAUCUACAAAUUCAACUUUAUGGCUUUUUAUGACACCAAUGUGGCUUUUGCCUGUGCACGUCAUGCCGGAUUGCUGGAUGUAAGAUAUUUUGCAUAUGAGCAAAGCUCCUCCCCCAACCCCCAAAAAAUAAAAGCAGGCGCAAACUCCCAGAAAGUAUUGGAGUAAAAACCUAAGGUGACAGACGAGAAAGACGGAAAACUGGAUUAUCCCAAGUGGAACUCAGGGCCUGUUGAGGGAAUCAUGCUUGGAAGGUUCUGCGUUCUGCUGUGUGCAGGUGAGGUGUCCAUCUUACACUUACUCGGACGUCUCUUCUGAAUCUGGGGGCUCUCAUUCCUGCCUAGGUGUUCCUGUUGCUCUCUUUAUUUCAAUUUCAGCAGUUUAUGUCGUAUUCGCAAGCACCACGAUGACCCCUACAACAAUAUCGAUGACGUCCUCAAACCAAGCGAGUCUCGCAAAUGGGCACAGCAGUACUGACAUCAGUGGACUCUUCCUCCUCGGACACGAAAACCAGUCCAACAACCUCCAAUCUGACAAAUCCAUCUGAUGACCAGACCCCAGAAGAGGGGACCACUGAAGGACUGUCACCUGGAGAAGCGGCAGGGGUGGCUGUUGUCGGUGGGGGAAUUUUUGCUGCUCUGAGUUCAGCAGAAGAGUUGGCAACUAGCUGCAGCUGCCUUGCAAAUGCCUCUGAGCUGCAAAGUCAUUUCUGGUAUUGGCCAAAUGUUCCCCAACAGGAGCAUGACAUCAUUAUUGAUUGAACCUUCAAGAACGGUAAUGUUAAGGAGACUCCAAAAUGACUCUAGAUCAGAUUCAGUUUGAUGCUGAACAAAAAUAGGAUGUAAUCACAAAACUAAGUCUUAUUCUGUCCACUUGUUGUACUUACUGGCUACUUUUAAGGCUGUUUCAAGGUCCAGGUCCAGUUUUAAUAAUGCUGGAUUCAAAUCCUGUGGAUGACAGAGUGAAAUACCCCCAAAAUGCUUGCCCACUUUCAACAGAACACCCAUCUACCUCAGCUUAUGUCUGUGCUUAAUGGCAUAAGCAGCUCAGAAAUCAGUAGUCUGUGUGUUGAUUGUCAUUCCUAAAUGAUUAAGCUUGAUUUUCAAUUAUCCACAGCGUCACAGAAAUCCAGCUUUUAAUUCACAGUUAAUAUAUACCUCGUUCCACAAUUCAGAGAUGAAUAAAAUAGAAAUGUCACUCAUAUGGCUGUACAUCCAAAAACAUCACGGCAUAUAAACUUAUUUCUGAGAAGCCAUCUGCACAUUUAUAGCCAAUGACUUAGCAGAAAACAACACUGUAUCAUGGCAUCGGCAAUGAACAUUUCAGUUUUAUAAAGUAGCGAUUAUCAAAAAGAUGCUAACAUUGUGUCAAUUUCAUUACUGUAAUAUCAUUAGAGAAUAUAUUGUGACUAGUAUAUAGUUAACGCAAUGUACUAAGAUUACAUCAAAACAGUCCCUUCGAGCUGUAUCAUCUCAGGAGGCACCAACAGGAAACACAGAAAAUGACUUAACUGAGGACGGCUCCGAUGGCAAAACAGCCGAGCUAGAGAGCUCGCAUAUUGCAUGGCCAUUGGAAACAGGGUGAUUGGCACCAGGGCGGUCCCAGGACAGAGCGCCUGAGAAAGCACAAUGUCGAUGCUUGGUCCCAGCUAGCGCCACACAUCGACCUAACUGCGCAGUUGCGCUAAAUAUUUAUUACUCUCUUAACAGCUGAUUUCUGAACCGGAUCCAGUUUCAUCCAGUAGAGUAACUUGAUUAUUCACUAGGAUGGAAAUCCAAAGGCGGGGGGCAAAAGGUGAUAAAAGGGGAAAGGCUUUACCAGGAUGGGGUUUCUUUUGAGUAGCAAUAAACGAGGCACAUUUAAUUUCGUGCUUUAUAUAACAGCAACAAUGACAGAUAAUGAUAAAUCUGUAACUUGAUUCAUAUAUAAUGAAAUGCCGUUUAACUAUGGAUGCUAACGGCAUUUCUAUCAUGCUGACGAAAACAAGUUAAAGAGCGUCAUUGUGUAGAUGGAUAAAAUGAACAUCCCUUUACCUGUACGCACAGAAAUUAGCGACUCACCACGAAUACGCAAAAGAAAAGCGGACUUGCCGCAGAAUAGGGCGGGGAAAUCGAUAUAUACACGAAUCUGACCACGUCUGAUUGACAACGUUAUUAACCAAUGACAUGCCAAGUCAGCAACAGCCUAGCGGAAAACAACUCAGGUUAAUCAUGCUGCAGGCGUAUCGAAAUUAAUACAACAGACCUGUAAAUAACGUCUGCGUAAGGGGCUCCUAUAGCCAUUUCUGACAAUGCGAAUGACUGAAAGACAAAACACCAUCGCCUUGUAAAUUCUUCGGUGAAAAUACUGUUCUUACAUUAUGUUUUUAUAGAAUUUGCGCAUUCUAGUGGACAUGAGUAGAAAUUGCACAUCAGGCUUCCAACUAUCCGUCUUCGAACCGCAUAUCCUGGCAGGGGUAAUGGGUAGCCUGAAAUUUACUAGUGCAUAUCAGCGCAGACACACACAGCAUACACUACAGGACCUUCACGGCCUGAGGACUCGGAUGAGGAAGCAUCCAAUACGGGUGGAACGUCAGAUGCUGGUGUUUCGUGUGAGAGGCAGU
Long non-coding RNA from Paramormyrops kingsleyae, 2867 nucleotides. RefSeq lists it as uncharacterized. The record is from RefSeq and is a predicted model, not a curated record. NCBI's taxonomy places the organism in Eukaryota, Metazoa, Chordata, Actinopteri, Osteoglossiformes, Mormyridae.